UACGUAUGGAGCAAGCGUUAUCCGGAUUUACUGGGUGUAAAGGGCGCGUAGGCGGGACUGCAAGUCAGAUGUGAAAUCUGGUGGCUCAACCACCAAACUGCAUUUGAAACUGUGGUUCUUGAGUGAUGGAGAGGCAAGUGGAAUUCCUAGUGUAGCGGUGAAAUGCGUAGAUAUUAGGAGGAACACCAGUGGCGAAGGCGACUUGCUGGACAUUAACUGACGCUGAGGCGCGAAAGCGUGGGGAGCAAACAGG
This 253-nucleotide ribosomal RNA is filed under the name uncultured bacterium. Its description in RNAcentral is "partial 16S ribosomal RNA". It matches the Rfam family "Bacterial small subunit ribosomal RNA", at positions 524 to 776 of the family's 1533-position model. The record is from RNAcentral.